RNAcentral lists this ribosomal RNA (478 nucleotides) under uncultured bacterium. Its description in RNAcentral is "partial 16S ribosomal RNA". It matches the Rfam family "Bacterial small subunit ribosomal RNA", at positions 28 to 523 of the family's 1533-position model. The record is from RNAcentral.
GACGAACGCUGGCGGCGUGCUUAACACAUGCAAGUCGAACGGUAAGGCCCUUCGGGGUACACGAGUGGCGAACGGGUGAGUAACACGUGGGUGAUCUGCCCUGCACUUCGGGAUAAGCCUGGGAAACUGGGUCUAAUACCGGGUAGGACCACUGCCUGCAUGGGUGGUGGUGGAAAGCUUUUGCGGUGUGGGAUGGGCCCGCGGCCUAUCAGCUUGUUGGUGGGGUGAUGGCCUACCAAGGCGACGACGGGUAGCCGGCCUGAGAGGGUGACCGGCAAAACUGGGGCUGAGUGACGGCCCAGACGCCUACGGGAGGCAGCAGUGGGGAAUAUUGCACAAUGGGCGCAAGCCUGAUGCAGCGACGCCGCGUGAGGGAUGACGGCCUUCGGGUUGUAAACCUCUUUCAGCACCGACGAAGCGCAAGUGACGGUAGGUGCAGAAGAAGGACCGGCCAACUACGUGCCAGCCGCCGCGGUAA